RNAcentral lists this ribosomal RNA (766 nucleotides) under uncultured fungus. RNAcentral's name for it is "eukaryotic LSU rRNA". The stretch from base 1 to 241 matches the Rfam family "Eukaryotic small subunit ribosomal RNA", at positions 1593 to 1831 of the family's 1831-position model. Lineage: Eukaryota; Fungi. The record is from RNAcentral.
UUGCUCUUCAACGAGGAAUGCCUAGUAAGCGCAUGUCAUCAGCAUGCGUUGAUUACGUCCCUGCCCUUUGUACACACCGCCCGUCGCUACUACCGAUUGAAUGGCUCAGUGAGGCCUUCGGACUGGCCCAGGGAGGUCGGCAACGACCACCCAGGGCCGGAAAGUUCGUCAAACUUGGUCAUUUAGAGGAAGUAAAAGUCGUAACAAGGUCUCCGUAGGUGAACCUGCGGAGGGAUCAUUACCAAGUACAACCCGUCUCCGGACGGGCUGCUACCAACCCUUUGUUGUCCGACCGCGUUGCCUCCGGGGCGACCCUGACCUUCGGGUUUUGGGGGACCCCGGGUGGACACCUAAACUCUGCGUAACUUUGCAGUCUGAGUAAUAGAUUAAAUCAAUCAAAACUUUCAACAACGGAUCUCUUGGUUCUGGCAUCGAUGAAGAACGCAGCGAAAUGCGAUAAGUAAUGUGAAUUGCAGAAUUCAGUGAAUCAUCGAAUCUUUGAACGCACAUUGCGCCCCGUGGUAUUCCGCGGGGCAUGCCUGUUCGAGCGUCAUUUCACCACUCAAGCCUCGCUUGGUAUUGGGCGACGCGGUCCGCCGCGCGCCUCAAAUCGACCGGCUGGGUCGAUCGCACCCUCAGCGUUGUGGAAACUAUUCGCUAAAGGAGUUGUGGUCGGUCACGCCGUGAAACAAACCAAUCUUUCAAUGGUUGACCUCGGAUCAGGUAGGGAUACCCGCUGAACUUAAGCAUAUCAAUAAGCGGAGGA